GUGGUUACGGUUCUGACGUAAGGGUAGACCUCCCACCCUUGUGUAUUAUUACUUUGUUGCUUUGGCGAGCUGCCUUUGGGCCUUGUAUGCUCGCCAGAGAAUACCAAAACUCUUUUUAUUAAUGUCGUCUGAGUACUAUAUAAUAGUUAAAACUUUCAACAACGGAUCUCUUGGUUCUGGCAUCGAUGAAGAACGCAGCGAAAUGCGAUAAGUAAUGUGAAUUGCAGAAUUCAGUGAAUCAUCGAAUCUUUGAACGCACAUUGCGCCCCUUGGUAUUCCGGGGGGCAUGCCUGUUCGAGCGUCAUUUCAACCCUCAAGCUUAGCUUGGUAUUGAGUCUAUGUCAGUAAUGGCAGGCUCUAAAAUCAGUGGCGGCGCCGCUGGGUCCUGAACGUAGUAAUAUCUCUCGUUACAGGUUCUCGGUGUGCUUCUGCCAAAACCCAAAUUUUUCUAUGGUUGACCUCGGAUCAGGUAGGGAUACCCGCUGAACUUAAGCAUAUCAAUAAGGGCGGAGGAA
Molecule: ribosomal RNA, 515 nt
Filed under: Botrytis cinerea
Lineage: Eukaryota; Fungi; Ascomycota; Leotiomycetes; Helotiales; Sclerotiniaceae
Description: eukaryotic LSU rRNA
Rfam family: 5.8S ribosomal RNA (bases 151-304)
Source: RNAcentral